UGGGGAAUAUUGCGCAAUGGGGGGAACCCUGACGCAGCAACGCCGCGUGAAGGAUGAAGGUUUUCGGAUCGUAAACUUCUUUGAUGAGGGAAGAAAAAAGACGGUACCUCAAAAACAAGCCACGGCUAACUACGUGCCAGCAGCCGCGGUAAUACGUAGGUGGCGAGCGUUGUCCGGAAUUACUGGGUGUAAAGGGCGUGUAGGCGGGUUUUUAAGUCAGAUGUGAAAUACCGGGGCUCAACUCCGGGGCUGCAUCUGAAACUGGAGAUCUUGAGUGCUGGAGAGGAAAGCGGAAUUCCUAGUGUAGCGGUGAAAUGCGUAGAUAUUAGGAGGAACACCAGUGGCGAAGGCGGCUUUCUGGACAGUAACUGACGCUGAGGCGCGAAAGCGUGGGGAGCAAACAGG
RNAcentral lists this ribosomal RNA (405 nucleotides) under uncultured prokaryote. Its description in RNAcentral is "bacterial SSU rRNA". It matches the Rfam family "Bacterial small subunit ribosomal RNA", at positions 355 to 776 of the family's 1533-position model. RNAcentral also lists the same sequence under 1 other name. The record is from RNAcentral.